This 377-nucleotide ribosomal RNA is filed under the name uncultured bacterium. RNAcentral's name for it is "bacterial SSU rRNA". It matches the Rfam family "Bacterial small subunit ribosomal RNA", at positions 521 to 896 of the family's 1533-position model. The record is from RNAcentral.
UAAUACAGAGGGUGCAAGCGUUGUCCGGAAUCACUGGGCGUAAAGGGCGCGUAGGCGGCCUGAUAAGUCGGGGGUGAAAUUCUGCGGCUUAACCGCAGGACGGCCUUCGAGACUGUCGGGCUUGAGCACGGUAGAGGCUGGUGGAAUUCCCGGUGUAGCGGUGGAAUGCGUAGAGAUCGGGAAGAACAUCGGUGGCGAAGGCGGCCAGCUGGGCCGUUGCUGACGCUGAGGCGCGACAGCGUGGGGAGCAAACAGGAUUAGAUACCCUGGUAGUCCACGCCGUAAACGAUGGGUACUAGGCGUCGGGGGGAGCGACCCCUUCGGUGCCGUCGCUAACGCAGUAAGUACCCCGCCUGGGGAGUACGGCCGCAAGGCUG